GCUCCCGUAGCUCAGGUGGAUAGAGCAUCUGCCUUCUAAGCAGAGGGUCGCAGGUUCGAGUCCUGCCGGGAGUG
RNAcentral lists this transfer RNA (74 nucleotides) under bacterium. RNAcentral's name for it is "tRNA-Arg". It matches the Rfam family "tRNA". Rfam says of the family: Transfer RNA (tRNA) molecules are approximately 80 nucleotides in length. Their secondary structure includes four short double-helical elements and three loops (D, anti-codon, and T loops). Further hydrogen bonds mediate the characteristic L-shaped molecular structure. tRNAs have two regions of fundamental functional importance: the anti-codon, which is responsible for specific mRNA codon recognition, and the 3' end, to which the tRNAs corresponding amino acid is attached (by aminoacyl-tRNA synthetases). tRNAs cope with the degeneracy of the genetic code in two manners: having more than one tRNA (with a specific anti-codon) for a particular amino acid; and 'wobble' base-pairing, i.e. permitting non-standard base-pairing at the 3rd anti-codon position. RNAcentral also lists the same sequence under 3 other names. The record is from RNAcentral.